RNAcentral lists this unclassified non-coding RNA (253 nucleotides) under uncultured Elusimicrobia bacterium. RNAcentral describes it as "contains 16S-23S intergenic spacer region". It matches the Rfam family "Bacterial small subunit ribosomal RNA", at positions 524 to 776 of the family's 1533-position model. Lineage: Bacteria; Pseudomonadati; Elusimicrobiota; Elusimicrobia. The record is from RNAcentral.
UACGAAGGUGGCAAGCGUUACUCGGAAUUACUAGGCGUAAAGCGCGGGUAGGUGGUUCGGUAAGUCUGCUGUGGAAGCUCCUGGCUUAACUGGGAGAGGUCAGCAGAAACUACCGGACUGGAGUGUGGGAGAGGUUAUCGGAAUUCCCGGUGUAGCGGUGAAAUGCGCAGAGAUCGGGAGGAACACCAAAGGCGAAAGCAGAUAACUGGACCACUACUGACACUGAGCCGCGAAAGCUAGGGGAGCAAACAGG